AGGCCUUUUCGGAGGUACUCGAGUGGCGAACGGGUGAGUAACACGUGGGUGAUCUGCCCUGCACUCUGGGAUAAGCCUGGGAAACUGGGUCUAAUACCGGAUAGGACCGCACUUUAGUGUGUGUGGUGGAAAGUUUUUUCGGUGUAGGAUGAGCCCGCGGCCUAUCAGCUUGUUGGUGGGGUAAUGGCCUACCAAGGCGGCGACGGGUAGCCGGACUGAGAGGUUGGUCGGCCACAUUGGGACUGAGAUACGGCCCAGACUCCUACGGGAGGCAGCAGUGGGGAAUAUUGCACAAUGGGCGCAAGCCUGAUGCAGCGACGCCGCGUGGGGGAUGACGGCCUUCGGGUUGUAAACUCCUUUCGCCAGGGACGAAGCGUUUUGUGACGGUACCUGGAGAAGAAGCACCGGCUAACUACGUGCCAGCAGCCGCGGUAAUACGUAGGGUGCAAGCGUUGUCCGGAAUUACUGGGCGUAAAGAGCUCGUAGGUGGUUUGUCACGUCGUCUGUGAAAUUCCACAGCUUAACUGUGGGCGUGCAGGCGAUACGGGCUGACUUGAGUACUGUGGGGGUAACUGGAAUUCCUGGUGUAGCGGUGAAAUGCGCAGGUAUCAGGAGGAACACCGAUGGCGAAGGCAGGUUACUGGGCGGUUACUGACGCUGAGGAGCGAA
Molecule: ribosomal RNA, 669 nt
Filed under: uncultured Actinomycetales bacterium
Lineage: Bacteria; Bacillati; Actinomycetota; Actinomycetes; Actinomycetales
Description: bacterial SSU rRNA
Rfam family: Bacterial small subunit ribosomal RNA
Source: RNAcentral